CUUCAUCUAAUUUACAUCUAUUUAUAAUAAGAAGUAGGACACUAUUCGGACUUCAAACAAGCUUGAGUCCGUUACAUUAUUACAAAAGAUAAAUAAUUAAACUACUUUGUCAAAAAGAAAAGAUUCUUGUCCGCCACUUUGUCCAAUAAUUAAACUACUUUGUCAAAAAGAAAAGAUUCUUGUCCGCCACUUUGUCCAUUCUUAUCAUCUUAUUUUGUCUUCUUGUUUUGUCUAUUAUUCUUGUCCAUUACUUUGUUCAU
This 260-nucleotide long non-coding RNA is filed under the name Ricinus communis (castor bean). Its description in RNAcentral is "long non-coding RNA (RCOM_LNC001351)". The record is from RNAcentral. Lineage: Eukaryota; Viridiplantae; Streptophyta; Magnoliopsida; Malpighiales; Euphorbiaceae.